UAUUUUAUACUUUAACUUUGAUUUUAUUCUUAUGUUUUUUAAAUAUUGGUGUUUUUGAAUGUGUUGUUUAAAUAACAUAAAAAAUAAAAUAUAUAUUGACAUGUAUUAAACAAAGAUAUAUAUUAUUUUAUGUUGUAUAAAUAAAUUGGCAAAAUAGAGAUGGAAGAUAAAAAUAUGGUCAAAGUAAUAAGAGUCUAUGGUGAAUGCCUAGGAA
Molecule: unclassified non-coding RNA, 214 nt
Filed under: Borreliella burgdorferi (Lyme disease spirochete)
Lineage: Bacteria; Pseudomonadati; Spirochaetota; Spirochaetia; Spirochaetales; Borreliaceae
Description: partial 5S-23S ribosomal RNA intergenic spacer
Source: RNAcentral